GUAGGGAAUCUUCCGCAAUGGACGAAAGUCUGACGGAGCAACGCCGCGUGAGCGAAGAAGGUCUUCGGAUCGUAAAGCUCUGUUGUCAGGGAAGAACAAGUACCGUUCGAACAGGGCGGUACCUUGACGGUACCUGACCAGAAAGCCACGGCUAACUACGUGCCAGCAGCCGCGGUAAUACGUAGGUGGCAAGCGUUGUCCGGAAUUAUUGGGCGUAAAGCGCGCGCAGGCGGUCUCUUAAGUCUGAUGUGAAAGCCCACGGCUCAACCGUGGAGGGUCAUUGGAAACUGGGAGACUUGAGUGCAGAAGAGGAGAGCGGAAUUCCACGUGUAGCGGUGAAAUGCGUAGAGAUGUGGAGGAACACCAGUGGCGAAGGCGGCUCUCUGGUCUGUAACUGACGCUGAGGCGCGAAAGCGUGGGGAGCGAACAGGAUUAGAAACCCUAGUAGUCC
Molecule: ribosomal RNA, 451 nt
Filed under: uncultured bacterium
Lineage: Bacteria
Description: bacterial SSU rRNA
Rfam family: Bacterial small subunit ribosomal RNA
Source: RNAcentral